CACAGAAAAAGCAAUUAUAGGAGGUUCCUGUCAUGGCUCAGCAGGAAUGAAUCUGACUAACAUCCAUGAGGAUGUGGGUUCGAUCCCUGGCCUCACUCAGUGGGUUAAGGAUCCUGCAUUGCUGUGAGCUGUGGUGUAGGUUCCAGAUGCCCUUGGAUCUGGGGUUGUGGCUGUGGCUGGUAGCUAUAGCUCUGAUUGGACCCGUGGAUUUGGAACUUCCAUAUGCCAGUGGUGCGGCCCUAAAAAGCAACAACAACAACAACAAAAAAAAAAAAAAAAAAAAAAAAAAAAAAAGAAGAAAAAGCAGUUAUAGUAAAAUGUAUUCUGUGAUUUAAUAAAAUUUCAUAAAUAUAAAAACCAUUUAAAAAAGGGAUGUCCUAAAAGAAAAAAAAGGGGGGGGGAGUUCCUUUUGUGACUCAAGGAAUUAAGAAUCCCAGUAAUUUACACGAGGAUACAAGUUCGAUCCCUGUCCUCACUCAGUGGAUUAAGGAUCUGGCAUUGCCGUGAGCUGCAGCAUAGGUUGCAGAUAUGGCUCAGAUCCCACGCUGCUGUGGCUGUGGCAUAGGCCUCAGCUGCAGCUCCAAUUAGACCCCUAGCCUGGGAACUUCCACAUGCUGUGGGUGUGGCCCUAAAAAGAAAAAAAAAUAAAAGAAGUGAUGCCCUUCCUUGAAUGUCUCUUGUCUCUUCUGUCUUCAGGUUCUUGGUCCUGCUGUUACCCUGAUGCCACCAUCUUCCUCCUCGACUUUCCCCAGCCCAUAUUCCAAAGAAAUGGAAUUCUAGCCUGUAUCGAUACAGCUGGCACACCAGGAAAGCCUGGUUUUCCUAGGGAAACACAACAGAAGUUGCUGCAGAUGUGGGUUCCUGAGUCCACUGUGGGACCAACUCCACAGACAUCUCUGGUGGCAGUAGGGGGACUUCUGAGAAUGCUUCAGGCCCAGACACCUUCCAGCAAGGGAUGGUGAUAGCCAGGAAAAGAGCCUGGCCUGUGCUAGAAGUACGGGAGUAUGUCCUCAGAGGCCCCAGACUGUCGAUAAAAUUUGCUGAUAACCUGGAUGAGAGCCUUUGCCUGAGCAUGAGUUACUCACGGGCUGUCCGCCUUCUGUCUGCUUCUGGAUCCUGCAGCAGCUCCUGCACAAGCUGAGCAUCUCCCCAGCUGCCACGUCAGCCUUAGCU
RNAcentral lists this long non-coding RNA (1173 nucleotides) under Sus scrofa (pig). RNAcentral describes it as "lncRNA (ENSSSCG00030043384.1)". The record is from RNAcentral. Lineage: Eukaryota; Metazoa; Chordata; Mammalia; Artiodactyla; Suidae.